This 1256-nucleotide ribosomal RNA is filed under the name Triticum aestivum (bread wheat). Its description in RNAcentral is "partial small subunit ribosomal RNA". Lineage: Eukaryota; Viridiplantae; Streptophyta; Magnoliopsida; Poales; Poaceae. The record is from RNAcentral.
UAAAGAAGCACGUAUUUAAACAACACAAGUAACAAGUCCAUUUUACGCACUCUGACAGCAAAAACAUAACCGAAGUUACCUCCUACUAAACGACACAUACAAAGUAAACGGUAGUUCCGGUAGUAUUGCAGGUGAGUACAGAUUAGGAUUACCACUUUACUCACUCGGUUAGGUAGACAUAGCCGAAAUUCCCUCGUCAGAAUAAAGUUAACGGUAGUUCCGCUAGUGCUGUUGCUGAGUAGAAAUAAGGACUACCACUUGGCUAAAACUGACAACAAAUACCAAGACUUUUACUAACGACCCCUUCCUCCUGGUAAGCAUUAAACCGGAGUUCCUGUACGAGACACGUCCAACGCUGGAAGGAAGGGAGGAGAAUGACCAAACGAAAAUCAUAAUAAUUUGACGUGCCGUGUCUUCUAAAAAAAACCAAUACGGAUCUGGACUUACAAAACCCCCACUACGUCGAUGUGACUGUCUACUUAUAAACAUCUCUUUACAGAACCUUUAACGUUCAUCUACCGAUGAGAUGUGACCGUCUACGAAUGAUUAAACAUUGUUAUUCUAGUUCAGCGUACAGUAUACAGCUAAGAGAAUGUCUAAUUUAACACUCGUAUAAGUCUAUGUAUACAGCCAGACCACUCGUAUAAUGUCAGAAGUGGUCUACGUAAACACAAAGCAUUUUUACGUAACUACGAUACACCUCUAAUGAGAACGUGACAAAAAGAUGAUAGAACAACAAAGAGACAAAAACGUAAAAUUCAAGGGUUUACGAAUCUAUCAAUUACGUCACAAAAUUCAAGUGUAAAAUUCAAAGAGACAAAAACGUAAAAUUUAAGUCUUACUGUGAAUACUAAGGGUCCCCUUCUUCGCCAAAGGUUUACUCCUUCCAAUCAAAUUAAACGGUUCUUUUAUUUAUAUCACCUGUAAUUAAACUAAUUACAUAGAGGGUUACAAUAAUCUUAUGUUGUGCUUCUUCAGUCUAAAACAGUUUCAUGUCCAGCCUCUCUUUUCACGGUCCUUCUUUUACCUUCAUCGUCGGUUUUAGACUGUUCUACGUUUCCGGGUAUAGCUCAUACAUGACGUCAGUUUCCCUAAGUCAAGUCAAUAAUUUUAAAGAACCGUAGAUUUAAUGAAUAGUUUACCAAAAAUGACUCAACCUCUUCUGGAACAACGAAGCUAAAAUAGGACGGUCGUUGUUUAACCUAACAAAUAAAAUAUACUUACGUAAUAAUAAGGGGAGAGUAGUCAACCUUCCG